UCGCUUUGGCUGUGCAGAUACUGAAAUUACAAUGAUACAGAAAAGACUGACAUGCCCCCCUGCACAAGGAUGGCACGCAAAUUGCAAAUUCAUUCAUGAAGCCU
RNAcentral lists this small nuclear RNA (104 nucleotides) under Echinops telfairi (small Madagascar hedgehog). The record is from RNAcentral. Lineage: Eukaryota; Metazoa; Chordata; Mammalia; Afrosoricida; Tenrecidae.